GACGAACGCUGGCGGCGUGCUUAACACAUGCAAGUCGAACGGUGAGGAGGAGCUUGCUCCUCCGAUCAGUGGCGAACGGGUGAGUAACACGUGAGUAACCUGCCCCAGACCCUGGGAUAACAGUUGGAAACAGCUGCUAAUACCGGAUACGAGACGGAGAGGCAUCUCUACCGUCUGGAAAGAUUUAUCGGUCUGGGAUGGACUCGCGGCCUAUCAGCUUGUUGGUGAGGUAAAGGCUCACCAAGGCGACGACGGGUAGCCGGCCUGAGAGGGCGACCGGCCACACUGGGACUGAGACACGGCCCAGACUCCUACGGGAGGCAGCAGUGGGGAAUAUUGCACAAUGGGCGAAAGCCUGAUGCAGCGACGCCGCGUGAGGGAUGACGGCCUUCGGUUGUAACCUACUGUCAGUAGGGAAGAGGAACGGACGGUACCGUACUCGAGGAAGGCAUCGGCUUACUACGUGCCAGCAGCCGCGGUAAGUCAUACUCGUA
Molecule: ribosomal RNA, 494 nt
Filed under: uncultured bacterium
Lineage: Bacteria
Description: bacterial SSU rRNA
Rfam family: Bacterial small subunit ribosomal RNA
Source: RNAcentral